RNAcentral lists this ribosomal RNA (253 nucleotides) under uncultured bacterium. RNAcentral describes it as "partial 16S ribosomal RNA". It matches the Rfam family "Bacterial small subunit ribosomal RNA", at positions 524 to 776 of the family's 1533-position model. The record is from RNAcentral.
UACGUAGGUGGCGAGCGUUGUCCGGAUUUACUGGGCGUAAAGGGAGCGUAGGCGGAUUUUUAAGUGAGAUGUGAAAUACUCGGGCUCAACUUGAGUGCUGCAUUUCAAACUGGAAGUCUAGAGUGCAGGAGAGGAGAAUGGGAUUCCUAGUGUAGCGGUGAAAUGCGUAGAGAUUAGGAAGAACACCAGUGGCGAAGGCGAUUCUCUGGACUGUAACUGACGCUGAGGCUCGAAAACGUGGGGAGCAAACAGG